Mercenaria mercenaria is the source of this 607-nucleotide long non-coding RNA. RefSeq lists it as uncharacterized. Lineage: Eukaryota; Metazoa; Mollusca; Bivalvia; Venerida; Veneridae. The record is from RefSeq and is a predicted model, not a curated record. The transcript has 2 exons.
GAUUAUUAAAAUACUCAACAAUGACACUGAAAGUUUAAGAGCCAGGUGUGGUCUUUGUUUCAAGUUAUCUUACUAUAAAGGUCUUGGAAUAUCAGAGUAGAUAAUAAAGGUUGAGAUUUUAUAGGGCUAUGUGCAGCAAAUUUUAUAUAUAUAUAUAUAUAUAUUAAAGUGGACAUUCUUCAAGUAAAAAUCUAGCUGAAAUAGAUGUGUGUGUAAAAAGGGCAGAGAAAAUUAUAGCUUUUACACCAGUAUGCCAAACUCUUCAUCAGGACGAAAUAAUAAGUUUCCAAAUAUGACUUUUCUUAUUUUGACUGAGGCAGCCUUUUUAAGAAAAGUCAAACUACAUAUAGGAGUUGCUUCCCUUCAACUUCAGAAAUCUCUAUCUAUAGGAAUUGGUUGAGUUAAUCCGAGCCAAGAAGGCAGCACAAGAAGCUGCCAAAGCAAAGAAAUGAUGACAGGAACAGCCAAAAAUAACCUACUUUAAAGACUCUUUCAAGUGUAGAAUUAUUGAAAAACAGAAAUUUUUUCAUUGAAGUUGCACACUAGUAUUUAAAAUUUGUUAUACCCCCUCCUGGACAUGUUGAGCAAUAUAUUUGUCGUGUUGUUA